UAGCUGAAAAUACAAUAUAUUUCACAGCUGUUUAGAUGGUACAAUGAUUAUCUACACUAUCCUUGCUUGUUUUAUCACAUAAACUGAUAUUAGCAAGCAGGAAACGGAGGAACGAUUUCUGCAUAGUGUAUCUUUAAAUACACAUUAAACAGUAAAACAGAUUAAAGAAAUAAUUGUCCUAUAGUUCCUUUAUAAAAAAUGCUUUAUGGACAAUGUAUUAAGCAUGCUUUCAGUUUAUUUUUAUUUAAUUUUUAUUUAACCUUUAUUUAACUAAGCAAGUCAGGCUUUUCUAUUAUAACACAUUUUGUCAAAUUCCCUUAUCGUGCCUGAUUGAUUACAGCGUUGUACUCAGAUAUCUGAUAUGUUUUUUGUUAAAUAACUUGGUAAAUUGAGUAAAUGGUUUCAAUCGUUUUUUCACCAUUCAUUUUUCCGUAGGGUAAUUUCAAACUACUUCAUAAGGUUUGUGUUUUGUGUAUGCUUAUCCCGGCAUUACGUAUUGAUAACCACAGACAAGGUAACUUUUAUCAGUAUAUUCUUCUGUAAUAACUUUCCAAAAAUAAAAUGCUAAUUAGCCGCUAAUGUGGCUAUGAUACAGAACUACACAUCUUGAUGCAAGUUUUGACUUAACCACUCAAGGCGCAGGGUGGAAAGAACCUCCACAUUUCUUCAUGCAAACUCAUCCACAAGUAACCUAGCAAGUAGAUAUUACAGCCUUUCUAGUUUCUCGUGUAAAUCAUUUAUAUUUUGUAUUUCUUGUGUGUAUUCUUGUUUAGCAUUUUUCAAAUUACCUAGCUAGCUACCGUAGCAUUUUUCAUUACUCUAAUUUUUUUAAUUACCCUGGCCUUUUUAGCUAACUAGCUAACCUUAGGUCUCUCCGUCGAUCAGAAGCAAGGAUGGUUCUGUACUCUACACCGGAUUGUAACCAGUAACGUUACUUUGAUAAGCACACGUGUAUUUGAUCGUUUUCCGUCCUCUGAGUGAGAGGCUUCGCUGGAGUUGUGUGAUAAGAUUGGUGGACCGGAAACCCAGUGGCAACAAUCAGGUCUGUAUCUGUCAUUUUCCGGUGGGAAAGAGAAAUGGCCCUGUAUUUACCAGAGAAAGAUCCAGACUGUUGAUUGGGAAAAAAGAACAAACAAUGAGGCAUGAGGAUUGGGUGUUGAGGGACCAUUUGUCACAUUGUCCAAGUCCAAAAGGAGUGCAUCCCUUGUGCCAUCUGGUGCACGGACAUCCUUUGCCAGUGUGAUCCGAGUGCAAGUGUCAAGUUGUAGAGACUACAACAGAUCGAGCCUGUGGACGGACAGACAUGAGGAGUGACAUGCGGAACACCAGGCUCACCCCACGAGAAGCAGUGCAUAUUCAACGCCAUCCUCAGCAAGGAGAUAUGCUGGAAAUGAUGUACUCUCUAACUCUGGGGUUGCUGACAAGCGGAGCAAUAGGAGGCUGUCAGAUGUUGUCACGCUGGAUGGGGAUGGUGAUGGAGGCUUUGGUGGUUCACACAACGAAGAAGCAGAUAUCCCUUCCAGUGAUGUGGAGAUGAUGUUGGACCUGGUGCCAGGAAGGAUUGUCUUCACAGAGGCAGUAAAACCCUCCUUCCUUCAUAUAGGAAUCCUUCAACUUCACUGUCUCUUCAAUAGUAAGGUCCCUUGCACCAUAGGGACACUUGACCUCCAACACAGCUGUGGUGCCCACCCAGAAUCCCAGACCCCGUGAACAAAAGCCCUCCUGCACAUCCAUCCCUGUAGCCAUUUUAAAUGCCUUGAUGCCCUCCUCUUUGUUACCUGUGCCCCACUUUAUAGACACCCAUCCAACGACUGUGAUCUGAGGACCCUUUUUUAGCAGUGAUGGAGUAACACGCUUGGCCCUGCUCCAUAAUUUAUGGCUGUCAACCUCCAUCUUCUCAUGGUGUGUCAGUUGGGGUUGGUGCACUGUCGAACUGUUGCCUGCCAUAUAGCUUUCGGCUGCUCCACCAACAGCGCCAUGCCAACCAGGACGCCAGCUUGCCCAAGGUGCCUUUUUUUAUUUACAUUUUUUUUAACAAUUUCCAGUACAGACAGGGAUGACAGGGAGGGUAGCAGUUGUUCUGGCUCAGGUUCAGGGAGACAUGCCAUUCCACUGAACCUGCCCCAGAGAUGGUUCCUUAGCUACUGAAGAUCCUCCUCUGUGGGCUCUCAGGACAGAGGGUUGUAGUCUUCGGCCAGGUACAGGUCCUCCACUGACUGCCCCUAGUUGGGCACGGCUGGCUUCCUCCACUAGCAUUCCACAUCCGGCUGAUAUUGUGACCCACCAAAAUAGGCUGCAUGGCUACCCGUAUGAGAUCCACGGAGGCAUAGAGGGAAUCACCUGGUCACCUAAAGAGACCUGCCAAGACCUGCCAAGAUGGAAGAUGCCUUUCAAUACAUUAAUUUGAACACCUUGAAAUACAUUUGUUGUAAAAAAAUGUGCUGUAUAAAUAAAGUUUGAUUUGAAGGAUGACAUAAUCUGGUUAAUGAUAAUUGAUUAAGUGUAUCUUUCUUUGUAGAAUGUUGACAGCUGUAUAGAACACAUUGUAUUGCUAAGAUUCUCAAACUUAACUUGAUAGCUACACUCCGAUACAGGAUAAACUUUAUCUCUCAUAUUGGCCCUGACCAAACCGAUAAGUUGCCCCUCACUAUAGCUAUACUUCUCCACAUGGUAUCAUGGUAUCAAGGUAUCAACUGUCGCAGAUGCAGACAGUUUUGAAGUAACAAAAGUUUAUAACAAAAAUGGGGGUAGGCAAACGACAGGUCAAUGGCAGGCAGUGGUCAACAAUCCAGAUCAGAGUCCGAAACAGGAGACAAAGGGCUGUGAGACAUAGUUUUAAUCCUAGACACAUGAAAAGUGGGAUGUAUACGGAGGGUACGGGGCAACAGAAGAUGAACAGCAGAAGGGGCUAAUCAUUGUGGGGAUGGGGAAAGGGCCAGUAAAAUGGGGGGAAAGUUUGCAGGACUCCACCCGGAGGGGCAGAUCUCAAGUAGACAGCCAUACCCUCUUCCCGAGACGACACUGGGGAGCCGGAGUCCGGUGUCAGUCCGCUUGUCGCCGAUACCUGGAGGUAGUCUUGAGAAGAGCCGACUGGGCUCUCUUCCAGGUACGGCGACAGUGGCGGACAAACAUCUGGCCCGAGGGUAUGCCGGCCUCUUGCUCCGGGAAGAGCGGGGGAGGGUGUUGCCCUCGAAAGGCGAGAGUCCGGUGGCAGAGCAGGGGAGGGUGUAGCGGGCUUAUUCAACACACACGAGUUGCUGGCUCGAGGUGGUGGGGUUGGCGGAGACAAGGCAGCGAAGAGUGGUCUCAAGGUCUUGAUUGGCUUGCUCUGACUGGCCGUUGGACUGAGGGUGGAACCUGGAGGACAGGCUGGCCGACGACCCAAUGAGUGUGCAGAACGCCUUCCAGAACCGGGACUAGAACUGAGGACCCCGGUCGGAGACCAUGUCCACCGGGAGUCCAUGGAUCCAGAAGACGUGCUGCACCAUGAGCUGGACCGUCUCUUUGGCAGAGGGUAGCUUGGGGAGAGGAAUGAAAUGGGAGGCUUUGGAAAACAGGUCCUCUACUGUCAGGAUUGCAGUGUUGCCAUCAGACGGCGGGAGACCUGUGGAAAAGUCCAGGGAUAUGUGAGACCAGGGAUGGUGAGGGACAGGCAAUGGUUGAAUGAGACCAGCUGGAGCUUGCCAAGGAGUCUUGUUCUGCGCACAGAUCGUGCAGGCAGGAACCAUGGUAGGUCACCAAAAGCGUUGCCGCACAAAGGCCAGGGUCUGAUGGGAGCCCGGGUGGCAGUCUAGCCUGGAGGAUAGGUCCCACUCCAGGAACGAGGGGUGGACAGCAUCAGGAUCAAACAUCUGGUUAUCUGGGCCCCCCGGGGUUUUGCUGGGAACAUUGCACCUCAUGGACCUGCUUCUCUAUUCCCCAGCUGAUUAACGUCGCCAGGCACGAGGAGGGAAGGAUGGUCUCGGGGUCCAAGGGCAUAGCCGCGGGGCUAUAGUGGCAUGGCAGCGCAUCCGGCUUGAUAUUCUUGGAUCCCUGUUGGUAGGAGAGGGAGAAGUUAAUCCAGGUGAAAAGCAGGGCCCACCUAGCUUGCCUGGAAUUGAGAUGCUUGGCGGUGUGGAGAUAGUCCAGGUUCUUGUGAUCAGUCCACACAAUGUUCCGCCCCCUCCAACCAGUGUUUCCACCCCUACAACGCCAUCUUCACUGCGAGAAACUCACGAUUCCCCACAUCGUAAUUCCUCUCUGUGGCGUUGAGGUGAUGGGAGAAGGCGCAGGGGUGUAACUUGAGGUCCAGGGCAGAACGCUGGGACAGGACAGCCCCACUCCGACAUCCGAAGCAUCGGCCGGGACGGGUCAGGGCGGAACCGAUAUGGGAGCUGUGGUGAAGCAGUGCUUGAGGUCCCAUAAUGCCCGGUCAGCAGCUGGGGACCAUGUGAACGGAACCUUGGGCGAGUUGAGUGCAUACAGCGGGGAAGCCAGGGUGCUGUAGCCCCGGAUAAAGUGGCUAUAAAAGUUGGCAAAAUUCCAGGAGACGUUACACACUGCACUCUGGACGUAGGCUGGUGCCAAUCCAAUACUGCUCUCACCUUCCCGGGAUCAAUAUGUUAAUUUCCUGCAACGAUGAUGUAACAAAAAAGGGGGAUGGAAUUCACAUUUCUCCGCUUUCACAAAAAGCUGGUUCUCCAGGAGGCGCUGGAAGACCUGUCGGACAUGGAGCACAUGUUCUUGGGCUGAGUGGGAGAAAAUGAGGAUGUCGUCGAGGUGGACGAAGAUGAACCGGUUCAACAUGUCGCGGAGAACAUCCUUAACCAGAGCCUGGAACACAGCUGGAGCAUUGGUAAGGUCGAAUGGCAUGACCAGAUAUUCGUAGUGACCGCUGGCUAUAUUGAAGGCAGUCUUCCACUCGUCCCUUCCCUGAAUCCGCACCAGAUGGUAGGUGUUCCGCAGGUCAACUUGGAGAAAACGGUGGCCCCCUGGAGUGGCUCGAAGGCCGAGGUGAUGAUUGGUAGCGGGUAGCGGUUAUUCACUGUGAUGUCAUUGAGGCCCCGGUAGUCGAUGCACGGGUACAGGGUUUUGUCCUACUUCUCCACAAAGUAGAACCCUGUGCCGGCGGGGGAGGCAGAAGGACAGAUACACCCUGCAGCUACGGAGUCCUGUAGUUCUCCAUAGCCUUGGUCUCCGGACCCAACAGAGAGUACAGUCGUCCCUGGGGCGGGGUGGUGCCAGGGAGAAGGUCGAUCCCACAGUCAUAGGGUCGAUGCGGAGGAAGUGAAGUGGCCCGGGCCUUACUGAAAAUCUCCUGUAUAUCCUGGUAUUCCGCGGGAAUGGCAGAGAGGUCCGGGGCAACUACCGAGCCCACAGGAAGACUUCCCAGGGCAGGCUGUGCUGACUUCAAGCAAUGGGUGUGGCAGAACAGGCUCCAGCCCAUGAUGGCUCCAUCAGUCCAGUUAAUGAGGGGAUUCUGUCGCUGGAGCCAAGAUGAUCCCAAUACCACAGGAACCUGAAGAGACUUAAUUAGCAUGAAUUGGACUGCCGCGCUCUGUUCCCCUGACACUCGUAGGUUGAUGGGAGUGGUAUUGUGGGUGACCCGGCCUAUAGAGCGCCCGUCCAGUGCUCUAAGAUGCAUGGGAAUGGAGAGGGGCUCAGUGGGGAUGCCCAGUUCGGACACCAUGAUAGCUUACAUAAAACUCCCAUCGGCCCCAGAGUCGAUGAGUACGCAGAGAGAUUUCGUCUGGUUACCCCACAGCAACAUGGCAUGGAAAGGGGUGCGAGUAAGGGGAGAGGAAAAGUUCUCCUUAAGGCCCACCAGAGUACUCGUCCCUACUGGUGAGCCUGAUCUCUUAGUGGACAGGAGGACACAUAAUCACCAGUAGUCCCGUAAUACAGGCAACUCUUCGUGUGAAGCUGGUGUAGGCAUUCGGCUGGGGACAGCCUAGCUCUGCCUAGUUGCUUCGGCUCGGGAAGAGGUGAAUUGGCAGACUUUGGAGACUCUCGGGUAGCCUCGGGUCCUCUCGGCCAUGGAUGACGUCGGGGUCUUCCGGGAUACCUCGGAAGCGAGGUGAAAUCUUUGGGAGGGCGUGUGACCUCCUCCUUCCUACAUUACUGUAGCCUCCCAUCGAUCCGGAUGGUCAAGGCAAUGAGCGAGUAGAGAUCCGUCGGUAGUUCUCGGGCUGCUAGCUCGUCCUUAACUAACUCCGAUAAUCUGUGCAGGAACGUGUCGAACAGCGAUUCCAGGUUCCAGGCACUGUAAGUUGCCAGAGUCCAGAAAUCCCCCGCAUAGUCUGCCACACUUAGGGAGUCUUGCCAAAGCUGCAGUAACUUCCGGGCAGCCUCUCUCCCAGACAAUGGAGAAUCUAAAACCUUCUUCACCUCCACCACAAACUCCUCCAGACUGAAGCAUUUGGCCGACUGUUGUUCCCACACGGCCGUAGCCCAGGCGAGAGCCCUCCAAGACAUCAGCCUGAUAAGGUACGUUAUCUUCGAGCGAUCCGAGGGGAAGGAGGAGGGCUGCAGUUCGACGAUGAGAUAAACGCCGGACAGGUUCCCGACUCUCCAGCGAAGCAUUCUGUGGGAGGUAAGCAGAGUUCUCGGGAAACCGGGCUAACAGCCGGGUUACUGAGGGGCUGGAAGGUUACCAUCGUGGUUGGCGGCCAGACAGACAACCUGCGGAAUUCCUCCAGCAAUGUGUUCAACAUGCAGUCAUGGCGUUUGGCCAAGGUUUGGAACCCUUCCAUAAAACCACGAAGCAACUCCUCAUGCCUUCCAAUGGUGGCUCCUUGGGAGGAGAGGGCAUUGCAGAGCUGGUCCGAGUCUGCUGUCCAUCAUGGCCAG
Long non-coding RNA from Oncorhynchus tshawytscha (Chinook salmon), 6828 nucleotides. RefSeq lists it as uncharacterized. The transcript is spliced from 5 exons. The record is from RefSeq and is a predicted model, not a curated record. Lineage: Eukaryota; Metazoa; Chordata; Actinopteri; Salmoniformes; Salmonidae.